UUGAACGCUGGCGGCAGGCCUAACACAUGCAAGUCGAACGGUAACAGGAAGAAGCUUGCUUCUUUGCUGACGAGUGGCGGACGGGUGAGUAAUGUCUGGGAAACUGCCUGAUGGAGGGGGAUAACUACUGGAAACGGUAGCUAAUACCGCAUAACGUCGCAAGACCAAAGAGGGGGACCUUAGGGCCUCUUGCCAUCGGAUGUGCCCAGAUGGGAUUAGCUAGUAGGUGGGGUAAAGGCUCACCUAGGCGACGAUCCCUAGCUGGUCUGAGAGGAUGACCAGCCACACUGGAACUGAGACACGGUCCAGACUCCUACGGGAGGUAGCAGUGGGGAAUAUUGCACAAUGGGCGCAAGCCUGAUGCAGCCAUGCCGCGUGUAUGAAGAAGGCCUUCGGGUUGUAAAGUACUUUCAGCGGGGAGGAAGGUGUUGUGGUUAAUAACCACAGCAAUUGACGUUACCCGCAGAAGAAGCACCGGCUAACUCCGUGCCAGCAGCCGCGGUAAUACGGAGGGUGCAAGCGUUAAUCGGAAUUACUGGGCGUAAAGCGCACGCAGGCGGUCUGUCAAGUCGGAUGUGAAAUCCCCGGGCUCAACCUGGGAACUGCAUUCGAAACUGGCAGGCUUGAGUCUCGUAGAGGGGGGUAGAAUUCCAGGUGUAGCGGUGAAAUGCGUAGAGAUCUGGAGGAAUACCGGUGGCGAAGGCGGCCCCCUGGACGAAGACUGACGCUCAGGUGCGAAAGCGUGGGGGAGCAAACAGGAUUAGAUACCCUGGUAGUCCACGCCGUAAACGAUGUCUAUUUGGAGGUUGUGCCCUUGAGGUGUGGCUUCCGGAGCUAACGCGUUAAAUAGACCGCCUGGGGAGUACGGCCGCAAGGUUAAAACUCAAAUGAAUUGACGGGGGCCCGCACAAGCGGUGGAGCAUGUGGUUUAAUUCGAUGCAACGCGAAGAACCUUACCUGGUCUUGACAUCCACAGAACUUUCCAGAGAUGGAGGGGUGCCUUCGGGAACUGUGAGACAGGUGCUGCAUGGCUGUCGUCAGCUCGUGUUGUGAAAUGUUGGGUUAAGUCCCGCAACGAGCGCAACCCUUAUCCUUUGUUGCCAGCGGUUAGGCCGGGAACUCAAAGGAGACUGCCAGUGAUAAACUGGAGGAAGGUGGGGAUGACGUCAAGUCAUCAUGGCCCUUACGACCAGGGCUACACACGUGCUACAAUGGCGCAUACAAAGAGAAGCGAACUCGCGAGAGCAAGCGGACCUCAUAAAGUGCGUCGUAGUCCGGACUGGAGUCUGCAACUCGACUCCAUGAAGUCGGAAUCGCUAGUAAUCGUGGAUCAGAAUGCCACGGUGAAUACGUUCCCGGGCCUUGUACACACCG
This 1374-nucleotide ribosomal RNA is filed under the name uncultured Gammaproteobacteria bacterium. RNAcentral's name for it is "bacterial SSU rRNA". It matches the Rfam family "Bacterial small subunit ribosomal RNA", at positions 29 to 1392 of the family's 1533-position model. The record is from RNAcentral. Lineage: Bacteria; Pseudomonadati; Pseudomonadota; Gammaproteobacteria.